GAGGAAGAGGAAAAACUCGUAUCGAAAGAUAUAGUGAAAAUAAAGUAACGAAUUCCCAAGAAGCACGCUGACGAGAAAAGCUUGUAGAUAUUGUAUAUAAAUACCCGUACCGCAAACCGACACAGGUAGAUGAGGAGAGGAUCCUAAGACGAGCGGGAGAAGCAUUGUUAAGGAACUCGGCAAAUUGACCCCGUAACUUCGGAAUAAGGGGUGCCUAUGUAAAAGUAGGCCGCAGAGAAUAGGCCCAAGCAACUGUUUAACAAAAACACAGGUUUCUGCUAAAUCGAAAGAUGAAGUAUAGGAGCUGACGCCUGCCCAGUGCUGGAAGGUUAAGGGGAAGAGUUAAGACUUGAUCUGAAGCUUAGAACCAAAGCCCCAGUGAACGGCGGCCGUAACUAUAACGGUCCUAAGGUAGCGAAAUUCCUUGUCAGGUAAGUUCUGACCCGCACGAAAGGCGUAAUGAUUUGGGCACUGUCUCGACAAUGUACCCGGCGAAAUUGUAGUACUAGUGAAGAUGCUAGUUACCUGCGACAAGACAGAAAGACCCCAUGGAGCUUUACUGCAGCUUGAUACUGGGUUUCGGUAAUUUAUGUACAGGAUAGGUGGGAGACUAUGAAGUUAUGGCGUCAGCCGUAAUGGAGUCACCGUUGGGAUACCACCCUUAAGUUAUUGGAAUUCUAACUUGUGAUCAUGAACUGGUCAGAGGACAAUGUCAGGCGGGCAGUUUGACUGGGGCGGUCGCCUCCUAAAGAGUAACGGAGGCGCCCAAAGGUUUCCUCAGCGCGGACAGAAAUCGCGCGAAAGAGUGUAAAGGCAGAAGGAAGCUUAACUGAGAGACAGACAUGUCGACCAGAUACGAAAGUAGGGCUUAGUGAUCCGGCGGUAGUGAAUGGAAAUGCCGUCGCUCAACGGACAAAAGUUACCCUGGGGAUAACAGGCUUAUCUCCCCCAAGAGUUCACAUCGACGGGGAGGUUUGGCACCUCGAUGUCGGCUCAUCGCAUCCUGGAGCGGAAGUACGUUCCAAGGGUUGGGCUGUUCGCCCAUUAAAGCGGUACGCGAGCUGGGUUCAGAACGUCGUGAGACAGUUCGGUCCUUAUCUGUCGCAGGCGUAGGAUAUUUGAAGGGAGCUGUCCUUAGUACGAGAGGACCAGGAUGGAGAUACCGAUGGUGUAUCAGUUGUCACACCAGUGGCAUGGCUGAGUAGCUAAGUAUCGAUGGGAUAAACGCUGAAAGCAUCUAAGUGUGAAGCCCACCCUAAGAUAAGAUGUCCCAUACCGUAAGGUAGUAAGAUUCCACGUAGACUAUGUGGUUGAUAGGUUGGAGGUGUAAGUACAGUAAUGUAUUGAGCUGACCAAUACUAAUAAAUCGAGGGCUUAACCAC
This 1382-nucleotide ribosomal RNA is filed under the name human gut metagenome. Its description in RNAcentral is "bacterial LSU rRNA". It matches the Rfam family "Bacterial large subunit ribosomal RNA", at positions 1518 to 2925 of the family's 2925-position model. The record is from RNAcentral.